AAUAAACAAAUUUCUGAGUUUUUGGAUGGAAUUUUUGACUCUUCGUCUUAUUUAAAAAAUUUUAUAAUUAAUAUUUUUAUUGUUACUGGAUGAUAAAAUAUAAAUAGUACUUUACAUACAACUAAUUUUUUUUAAUUUUUGAAUACAUUUUUCAAAUAAGACGGAUAGUCAAACGCUCAAACUACAAAACCCAG
RNAcentral lists this microRNA precursor (194 nucleotides) under Oryza brachyantha (malo sina). RNAcentral's name for it is "MIR812 microRNA precursor family". It matches the Rfam family "MIR812 microRNA precursor family". Lineage: Eukaryota; Viridiplantae; Streptophyta; Magnoliopsida; Poales; Poaceae. The record is from Rfam by way of RNAcentral.